GACGAACGCUGGCGGCGUGCUUAACACAUGCGAGUCGAACGAUGAAGCCCAGCUUGCUGGGUGGAAGAGUGGCGAACGGGUGAGUAACACGUGAGUAACCUGCCCUGAACUCUGGGAUAAGCACUGGAAACGGUGUCUAAUACUGGAUACGACCUAUCACCGCAUGGUGUGUGGGUGGAAAGAUUUAUCGGUUCUGGAUGGACUCGCGGCCUAUCAGCUAGAUGGUGAGGUAAUGGCUCACCAUGGCGACGACGGGUAGCCGGCCUGAGAGGGUGACCGGCCACACUGGGACUGAGACACGGCCCAGACUCCUACGGGAGGCAGCAGUGGGGAAUAUUGCACAAUGGGCGCAAGCCUGAUGCAGCAACGCCGCGUGAGGGAUGACGGCCUUCGGGUUGUAAACCUCUUUUAGUAGGGAAGAAGCGAAAGUGACGGUACCUGCAGAAAAAGCACCGGCUAACUACGUG
Molecule: ribosomal RNA, 467 nt
Filed under: uncultured bacterium
Lineage: Bacteria
Description: partial 16S ribosomal RNA
Rfam family: Bacterial small subunit ribosomal RNA
Source: RNAcentral